This is a long non-coding RNA of Notolabrus celidotus (New Zealand spotty), 2953 nucleotides long. RefSeq lists it as uncharacterized. The transcript has 7 exons. Lineage: Eukaryota; Metazoa; Chordata; Actinopteri; Labriformes; Labridae. The record is from RefSeq and is a predicted model, not a curated record.
UCGACCUGAAUUAAAGAGUACGGUCUGACUCUCUACCUGAUCUUUAUGCAGUGUCAAGACACCAUCUUUGUCAUAGUUUGGCCCUCUCUGCUGCCCCCUGGAGGCCAAAGUUCAGUUUACUCCCAGAAUGACUGCACUGAUUGGAUGAAGUGGCUCCAGGUGUGUUCAGGUGUGCUCCGACUGACCCUGUUAGUGAGUCCUCAGUCUUCAACUCCUUCAUGCAUCACAGAAAUUGCUGAAAACAGAUCCUGUCUACGGUGAUUCUCAUUUGAUUUGAAGGAGCUUCAUCUUGUUCCCUGAAAAAAAACAAAGGACAAGAACAUUGAAGCAUGAAGCUGAUGAAAGUGAGCCUCUGAAGUGAACACUUGAUGACCGAGCAUCACUUACCCAACCCUUUCAGAAACUUGUUCACACCACUCGGCUCCGGCUCAGGCCCCCUUGCGCAGCUCUUUGUCCUGAAUGAAACCGGCAAACAUUUGAGUCUCCAUGAAGAGCUGCAGGAACUGGCGGACUCCGCGGGAGGGGUGAGAUUUGCGGAAGCUGUCGCGCUGCAGCUCCCUGCUCCCGUUGGAGGACUCAGACAUGUGGAGAGGAUAGUGACCCACCAGCUCCACGAAGAGCCGCACGAAACCCUCUGACAUCAAAGAGCUCAGGAUCUGCAGCAGUGCCGCCUGCAGUUUACUGGGCAGGAUACAAUCUUCAUCUCCGAGCUGUCACGAAUCAAAGCAACAACAGUCACAUGAUGCAUGAAAGGUGUUCUGUGUCUACAUGACUGAUUGGUGCAACAUGAUAUGGGAUAAACUCCAGUGGAUGCUUGAUUGUAGCUGUGAGAGACGCUGUAAUGUCUGCAAAGAAAUCUUUUGGUGCAAAUGUACCAAAAGAAAGUGUCUACUAAGAGGUGUGAUAACCUUUAAAAUACCUUUUUAGAAGCAGCAGUCACAUGGCAUUCUUUAAAGUCACCAGACUGCACUGACAGAAAACAUGCAAACAAGUAUUUUGUGUGUUACUGGGUGACUGUUUAAGGUUAGCCUGGACCCAGCACACCAGAGACAGUCAGACUAACCAGUCCAGGCAGCAGCAGACCAGUAACUGUGUUAAAUUACUGUUUUUGGCCACAGAGUCUGGAGGCUUUAAAGAGAGAGAUGCAGCCCACAGCUGUUUCCAGUUAGAGAGGAUCUUAUCUUAACAGAGGUCUGUGUCUGUGUGGAUGAUUUCUGUUAAACUCUGACACUUUGACUGACAGUCUGAGUCUGUCAGUGGUAAAACUAACUUUUAGUGACUUUGUUCGAGUGCAUUUGCUCCAAAUCCUUACAGCAUGUCUCUCAGCUGCAGCUAAAUUGAUCCACUUGAGUAUUCUCAUGUUCUUAAGAACAAAUGAGUCAUUUUAAAUUCAAAACAUGUAAAAAUGGGGCCAGGGUUUAAAAAUACUGGAACUGCCACUUCUUCAGGACAGACGCAACACAGACUAGCAAUACUAGAUUUAAUGCCAGAUAGGAACCAAGUCAAGACAGACCUAUUAAAGACACACGCACACAGUUAACAUUAUUUAUCAAUGCUAAUCAUUGUUAACUGACAAACCAGCUGCUCUGAAUCAGACGUUAGCCUGCCUUCCUCUUGGUAUCAUAACAUCAUGUAGUGUGAGCUAAUCUCCUCAGAGCUCGUCCGUGUUAUACAAAUCGCUUAGUCACCCUCAAAACAUUCUGAAUGCAAACAAGGGACAUGUGUGGGCAAAGCCAUCCUUCCCACUGCGACCACACCCAUCAUUCCCCGCUACACACCGCUGUGAGUACACACCUGAAUGACAAACUUGUCAGCACACAGAUCCACUAUCAGCACCUGGGAGGAAAGAGAGGGGAAAGAAUGACGGUUACUCUGUGCACUGUUUUGCAACAAGACUUAAACAUGUGGAAGCUCCAUUACUUCUGGCAGGCACUGUGACAGCACCCCGAUGAGGAACGGCGUGGGGGAGCAGCUGAUGUCCAGCAUGCUGGCCGGUAGCACAGGGUUACCUCAUUCCCUGAGCCGGGGAGGAAGCUUUUCACCGUGACUGUGCGACCAGGGGCUGGAAAUGGGGCCUCCAUCACGCUACGCAUAAAAGGAUAAACCAGCGCUGGGGAAAUCUCUCUUCGCCUCUCCACCUCCUCCAGAAUCUGGACAGACAGAGGCAGACAAAUCACUGUUUAAGUCCUGAAGGAACGAAUGCUGAUUAAACUCUAAACAAAAUAACAGUGGCGAGAUGCGGCUCUGCAUGUUAAUGUUGUUUUCCAGGCUAUCACACUCACACUUAACUGUUUGUAAAUUUCCCUCAGCAAACUGGAAAAUAGGCAGGACACAUCUACAUGCAUACAAUGCAAUUCUUUUUUUUUUUUGUGAAACACGCCCAGGGAUUGCUCUGGAUUAUCUUCUAGUGCAGCCUCAUUCAAUCAAAACACAAACAAGAAGUCUCAAGGCGGCAGCUGUAAUACACUUCAAGAGGAUUACCACUGAACUCUAGAAACUCCUGCUCUUUUCAUGUCCCUACAAAGGCCUCCAUCAGCAGACACAGGGGAGCAGAUGUAUUGUACAGGUGCCUUACCUUGGCAAACAGGUUGAAACAGCCCAGUUUGCUGACAAUACAGUGCACCUCAGGAAGCCUCUUCCCUUUGCCACUGGGCUGAAAAGACACGUAGAGGUUCAAAUGUUAGGAAACAGGUGACAAGAGAGACACCUUUGACAUAAAAAAUACAAACCAUCAAAUAUGUACAGUAUGAGCAUGUAUGAGUACAGACGGGGCCUGAAAUUAGAGAGCCUAUUUUCCCUGUUAAGGAGUACGUCUAAGGACAAAAUUUCCUUGUGCCUAUCGGUGCACCCACUGGUGUUUUGGUCCUAAAAUGAGGUGUGGUCAGGUGUUAUGUUGCUGCAUUGUUAUUUUGAGGCAGAUUACAGCAUUAAACAACAAGAACCUGCCAAGACA